RNAcentral lists this ribosomal RNA (573 nucleotides) under Asticcacaulis sp. AC402. RNAcentral's name for it is "Bacterial small subunit ribosomal RNA". It matches the Rfam family "Bacterial small subunit ribosomal RNA", at positions 960 to 1533 of the family's 1533-position model. Lineage: Bacteria; Pseudomonadati; Pseudomonadota; Alphaproteobacteria; Caulobacterales; Caulobacteraceae. The record is from Rfam by way of RNAcentral.
CGCGAAGAACCUUACCUACUCUUGACAUCCAGAGAACUUUCCAGAGAUGGAUUGGUGCCUUCGGGAACUCUGAGACAGGUGCUGCAUGGCUGUCGUCAGCUCGUGUUGUGAAAUGUUGGGUUAAGUCCCGCAACGAGCGCAACCCUUAUCCUUUGUUGCCAGCGGUUCGGCCGGGAACUCAAAGGAGACUGCCAGUGAUAAACUGGAGGAAGGUGGGGAUGACGUCAAGUCAUCAUGGCCCUUACGAGUAGGGCUACACACGUGCUACAAUGGCAUAUACAAAGAGAAGCGACCUCGCGAGAGCAAGCGGACCUCAUAAAGUAUGUCGUAGUCCGGAUUGGAGUCUGCAACUCGACUCCAUGAAGUCGGAAUCGCUAGUAAUCGUAGAUCAGAAUGCUACGGUGAAUACGUUCCCGGGCCUUGUACACACCGCCCGUCACACCAUGGGAGUGGGUUGCAAAAGAAGUAGGUAGCUUAACCUUCGGGAGGGCGCUUACCACUUUGUGAUUCAUGACUGGGGUGAAGUCGUAACAAGGUAACCGUAGGGGAACCUGCGGUUGGAUCACCUCCUUA